This 7494-nucleotide long non-coding RNA is filed under the name Citrus sinensis (sweet orange). RNAcentral describes it as "long non-coding RNA (CSIN_LNC003598)". The record is from RNAcentral. Lineage: Eukaryota; Viridiplantae; Streptophyta; Magnoliopsida; Sapindales; Rutaceae.
CCAGAACCAGCAGCAAAUGAAGCCCAAAACACCAGAAAAAUUUACCUGCAAAUAACCAAAAAUAUAACCAAAAAAUAGCAGUAAAUUUAUCUAAAAACAACAAAAAAAUAAACUAAAAAAUAGCAGGCAAUUAACCCAAAAAUAGCAAAAAAAUUAACCUAAAAACAGCACCAAAUGAAGCCCAAAACACUAGAAAAAAUUUAACCAAAAACGGCAACAAAUCAUCCCAAAUACAACAAAAAUGGCAAAAAAUUUAACUGAAAAAUAGUAGUAUAUUUACCUAGAAACAGCAAAACAUUUAACCCAGCACCAGCAGCAAAUGAAGCCCAAAACACCAAAAAAAAAUUACCUGCAAAUAGCAAAAAAUAUAACCAAAAAAUAGCAAUAAAUUUAUCUAAAAAUAUCAGAAAAAUAAACUGAAAAAUAGUAGGCAAUUAACCCAAAAACAGCAAAAACUUUUACCUAAAAUUGCACCGAAUGAAGCCCAAAACACUAGAAAAAUUUAACCAAAAAUAGCAGUAAAUCAUCCCAAAUACAGCAGAAAAUUUAUCCAAAAACAGCAAAAAAAUUAAUUGAAAAACAGCAGUAUAUUUAUCCAGAAUCAAUAGCAAAUGAAGCCCAAAACACCAAAAAAAAUACCUGAAAAUAGUAAAAAAUAUAACCCAAAAACAGCAUUAAAUUUAUCUAAAAACAGUAGAAAAAUAAACUAAAAAACAGCAGCCAAUUUACCCAGAAGCAGCAAAAAAUUUAACCUAAAAACAGCACCAAAUGAAGCCCAAAACACCAGAAAAAUUUAACCAAAAACAGCAGCAAAUCAUCCCAAAUACAGCAGAAAAUUUGCCUAGAAACAAAAGCAUAUCAAACCCAAAAUUUUUCUGCAACUUCACAUAAUUCUCUAUCACUUCAAUUAUAUUUGAGAUAAAAACCCACUUCCAGUUUCAAAAUUGUGAUCCAUUACCCUUAAUUUAUUUGCUUGUGUCUAAUGUAUAUUUUCAUUUGUUUAUCAACCAAAAUCAAUGCAAACAAUAAUACAAAAUCAAGGUCACAAUAGUUAGCAUAACUCAUAUAGCACUCUAUAUCGUUCACCCACACUCGAAGCUUUUCCUAAACUAUGUAAUCACUCAUUUCAUUGUAUAAGACAACAUAAGUCACACCACGUUGCACCGCAAUCAAAUACACUUCAAUUAGAAAUGAAAGCCAUUGAACCUAAAAGUAUGCAGCAAAAAUAUACAUACUGAAAUCAAGAUUAUGAAAACUAAUUCCAAAAGUAAUUCUUGUUUGAACUUUGAAAGCAUGAAAAUAUCUUCUAUUCAUGUUGGUGUUGACUCAUGCUUUUGAUGCUUGUUUGUGUUUUUGGGGCCAAAUACAAAUGUGUGAGUGUGAGAUCUCUUGUCACAUAAUACAUUGCUUUUAAGGGUUGUGACUGUUCCUGAAGGUUCAAUUAUUUUCCCUAAUAAGUACCAAUAGAGUCUGUCAAACCUAUGGACCAAGCUAUAGGUACCAAUAGGUGCCAUGCAGUCAAUUAAGAGAGGAAUACCAGCUUACCAAGUGUGCAAGUCAAUCUAUAAAUCCAAAAGUUUAUGAUAACCACUUGCAGUUAGAGGGAAAAAAAUCUUUUAAAGGGUACAAGAGGUUUAGUGCAGACCACAAUUUGUGAUUGGUUGUUAACAGAAAUGAAAUAUAAUAAUGGAAUAAUACAAGCAUGGCAUAAAUUUUUUAUUCAUAACUCAGUAAUCGAGAAGUGCAUACAAAUGAUAAUUGAAUGCUUGAUGCGGAGCAGCAUUUAGAAACUAUUCUUAUGGUCUACACCUUUCUCAAUAAGCAUUAUAAAUUUAGUUUCAAAUCAAAUUACAGUAUCAGAAAAUAAAGCUUGCAGCCAAUAAUGGAGAAAAAAGACAGUGUCAGAAGAAAUUUUCAAGAAUCUGAGCUUCAAAUAAGUGAGUAUUAAAGACUUAACGGGAAAUCCCCAUUCAAUUCCCAUAUAAAAGAGAAAGAAGAAUGUAUGUGUGAUCUUUAACUAAACACUGACAUUAAGUAAACCCAAACACUUUGCACAGGAACUUCUUAAUUAACCCAAAGAGAGUUAAGUGAAAUUUCAGAAACUCCAAGAGAGCAGAUGAAUAACAAAAAAAAAAAAAAAAAACUGAUGGCCAAUCAAAAUCGAAGAAAAAAAAAAGAAAUAACAAAACAAUAAUAAUAAUAAUAAUUAUGAAGAGCAAAGUGGGUCAAAAACACACGCUGUGUUCAGGCAAUGCCAUGUGCCCACAUGCUUCAAUAGAAAAGAAAAAUAAUAAUAAAAAAAAUGUUUGCAUACUCUUUGCUUCCUUCCUAUUGAGAAAUUUUGACAAGCAAAUUCUCGCUUCCUUCCUAUUGAGAAAUUUUGACAAGCAAAUUCUCGUAGAGAAAUAAUAACUCCAACAACAGCAACAAGUUAUAACAACUGAAUAUCAUCAACAGGAAGAAGAAGAAGAAAGAGGAGGAGGCAAUGAUUUGAACAGAAACACCCUUGAAAGAAAGCAGUAAUGGGUUCGUGAGAGCAGAUCAAAUUGAUCUGAAAAGCUUAGAUGAGCAACUGGAGAGGCAUCUGAACAGAGCAUUGAAUAUGGAAAAAUCCAAGAAACAGAGAAAUUCUGAUGAUAAUAUUUUGGUCACUACCGCCGCCGCCGCCGCCGCUUCUGCUAAUGCCACUGCUACUGCAAUCGGCAAUGCUUCUAAUUUUCUCAAGAGGCAAUGGCAAGAGUGCACAGGAACUUCUUAAUUCCGUGAACAAAUGCAGAAAUUAUGACUAUGAAAGAAAACUAUGCAAACCCAAACACUUACAGCGACUUCUUAAUUCUUAGAUUCAAUGCCAUGAACAAAUUAUGACCAUGAAAGAAAACUAAAAUGCUUAGCAAUUCGAACGAGACAGAGGAUUAAACUUACCUUGCACAGGUGACGACGACCAAACCAAGAUAGAGGCAGCAACAGCAGAGACUCAGUAAUUCGAACAAGAUAGAAAAUCAAGACACAAAAUCAAUUCAAGAAUGGCUGCAAUCUGCAGACGUAUGAGAGGUUUCUUUAGGAAUUCGUUAAUUAGGGAUUAAUGAAAAAUAUGAACGGAAGUUUUCCCUUUUUAUUUUUUUAUUUCUUUAAAAGGUAAAUCCUCUUUUUUUUUCCUUUAAACUUACACCGGUAAAAUUUUAUUUUAAAAAAGUACUUAACCGGCUUAUAACCGGUUAGAUUUAAUUUAAUUAAAAAUUUUAUUAUUUCAUGAUUAUUGUGAAUCGUUGAUUUAAUCUAACGGUCCAUAAUAAUUACGACAUCGAUGCCGUAAUUUUAAUUACGGCAUCAUAGAAUUUUCCACAUCAUUAAUCUAAAGUUCUCCUAGUUCGAGGAUCCAAAAACGAACACUAUGAAUUCAGUGUAAAUUGGGUUUGGGAUCUUGAAUGACUGUGAAAGUUGGAAUGCAUUUUUUUUAAUUUUUGUGCAUUUUUUUUGGAGAGAGAAAUUGUUGUUUAAAUAAAUAUUAUCUUCAGAAUUAAAGUGAGUGCUGAUAGCAGCAAGUGAUUUUAUAGUAUAAUUUAAUAGUGUUUACUUAAAAAAGAGUAACAAUAGGAUUUUAGAGAUGUGACAAUAGUAUUCCCAGUAAUGCUACACAUCCCAAAUUUCUUAUUCCAAAAAGUUAUCCCAAAUGAUGUGUCAUUAAUUGAGUGGUUGAUAAUUAUUUACAAUAUCCAAGUGAAUUAAUUGUAUUAUCUUACCAACCAAUUGAUAAAUGCCACAUCAUUUGGGAUAACUUUUUGAGAUAAAAAAUUUGGGAUGUGUAGUAUUAUUGUAGUAUUCCAACUCUUAAGCAAAUUGCAAAUGGUGACAAAAUCACCCAAAACGUCGCUUUGGGUGCGUGUGAGUUUUUUCAACCGUUUAGCAAACUUAUCAUUUAUGUAAUAAUAUAAAACUACAUCUUUCAAGCAUUGCAUUGAAACAUAAUCACAGAAUGCGCUUAUGGUCUUACAAAAACAUGUGCUACGUACUAGCAAGAUGUUAUUAUUGUUGCUAUAUAUUGCAGUUCCAUGCAUGCUUGUUGAACAAUUUAUGGAUGACCGCGGCUACGUGGCCCACUCGGAGGUGGUGGUGGAGGCCAUGGAUGAUCAGAUAUAGAACCUGGCGGCGGCGGCGGUGGUGGACGAGCAAAGGAUGGUUGCAAAAGAAGAAGCAUUAUUAUGCAGCAUAACUCCAAAAGACACCAAAGCAGAUUGUUCAGCUUCAUCUCAUUUCUCAUUUUAAUUGCCCUCUUACCACAUAAGAGUUUUCUAAAGAUGUAUACAAAAUUAUUAGAUGAAUGAGAAGAUAUAAGUUAUUAUAUAGGCCCCUUUCCUUCAACCAUUUUCCAGUCAAUAAAUUAUAAAAAACAAACGCAAAUAAGUCAAGUCAAUUUUCAUCUUGAAUAAGUCGAAUGCAUAUAUAUUUUUUUCCAAUAUUCCUAUCCUAAAUGCGAAUCCAUAAAAGAGGUUGCUGACUUAAUUUUCUUGUUUCUCACUUUAUUUAAUUUUUAUAAAUUUGGCUCACGAUCAAUUAAUUGAAGAGUUUGGUGGAAAUUCAAUUUACUAUAAUCAGAUCAAUAUAAUUUAAUUAUUUUUCUUUUUACUUCAUGUCAUGAAAAUUAUGAAUACUUUGUAGAAUUUAGAGGAUUAAAAAUUCUAAUGCAUAUAAUUUUAUUUUUCAAACUGAAUAAACAUAUCAUUAUUGCUUCUUAGAACCUAUUACUUGUAUUUUAUGUUUUUGUCUCUUUUCAUAAUUUUUUUUUUUUACUUGAAAAUGUUAAUAAUCAUAAUAAAUUAGAUUGAAUUAAUAAUUUUUGCCUCUGUGAUAUAAAUAAUCGGUUUAUUGGAUUUUCUUCUCUUUCAUUGAUUUUUCAACUGUGACUUCUGAGUCGGGUUAAGGAUUGACAAAAACGUUGUAACCCACAAAGCACGCAUAAUUAAUUAAUGAGCCACUAAUUUCUUCUUUCUUAAAAGAAAUUUUUUGCAGGGAGAUUGAACAAAAGGCUAAUUCUUGGUAAAGAUCAGAAUCAAAUGGGUAUCCCCAUCACAAAUACAAGUUAAGCCACACAAUUUUUCUUGUUAUACUACUUAUUGGCACUUGUGAUCCUUGAAUUAUCAAACGAAUAGCAGGAACACUUCAACAUCUGUUGUCAUAGGGAGAGAAGUCCGUUCUCCCUUCGAUGUAAUACGCGGGCAAUUUACAUUGACUUUUCAUACGCGGGUGGGCACAAGCCGGUUUGGUUCUAGGGCAGAACCAAACUAAGAUCGAAACGAACUGAAACAAAUUAUUUUGGUUUGGUUUUGUUCGGCUUGCUUUGGACUUUUCACCUAAAUUUGUAUUCUUUUGUUAAUUCAAUUCAGUUGUGACCAUUACAAUUCAUGAUUUAUACAAAAUAUUAAUGUAAAAUAAUUUUAUAAUAAAUAAAUAUGAUCAUUUAUUAAAAAGUAAUACUUUUUUAUUUUAAACAGUGAACCAAUUGGUUCUCCAAUUUAUUUUUAACCGAAUUGAAUAAGAACCAUUCGGUUCUUAAAUUUCUAAACUAUUUAGUCUUUUUUAAUCUAAAAAUUGAAUUCAGAAACGAACCGAAUACUAAGCCCUAGUUUCAUACUUAUCAUAUUUAAAUUUAAAAAUGUCACCAUAUCAAUAAGGUGAUAUGGAGAUUAUCUCACCUACUUUUUAUGUAUGUAUCUUCAUUAUAGAAAAAAAAAAAAAAUUCGGUGCUCCUACUCAAUGGCAAAAUCAACAUUCUUUGAUGGACACCAAAAUGAUUAAAGUAUAACUUCAAGUUGGUUGUGACAUAAAAUCAGUGUUGUAAAUAGUGCGUUCGUAUAUUAUAAAAUACAAAUAUUCCCACUAAAAAAGAAUUAUUACACACAUAUAUUUAUAGUGUUUUUACUCAAUUAACUAUUAUACUAUAUGAUGUAAUAGUGGAUCCGCAUGAAAUCCCCAUUUGGUAUCCAGGCCUCAAUAUAUAUAUAUAUAUAUUCUUCUAUAUUUUUAAUUCAACAAAUAAUAAUAUGUCACAUUAUUCUAAAAAUGGGUAUUAUAUUUAAAAUUCUACAAUACUUAGAGGCUACUAGCCUCUAAUCUUUUGUCAUUAAUUAUUACUUGUUAGAAAAAUUCAGAUGAAAUAUUGUAUUUAAAAUUCCAUGUACUUACAGGCUAUAGCUACUUAGCCUCUAGUCCUUUUUCAUUAAUUAUUGCUUGUUAGAAAAUUCAGAUUUUAAUUUGCCAUGAAAAUAUGUAUAGGAUCAUGAUCCUCUACGAUACUUAUAGGUUACAACUACCUAAUCUUUAAUCUUUUACAAGGCUGGCUUUAACUAAUUGGGGCCUUAGGCAAAAUUUUAUUUUAGGUCCUCUAAUAUUAAAAUAUCAACCCCCACAAGAACAUUAAAUAGUUCAAAAAACCCUCACAAGAACAUCAAGUAACUCAAAAUUCAACUAUAUUUAAUAAUAUCUUGAAUUACAAAAAUUAUCAACAAGAUUCCAAAAAACAAAAUAUAGUACGAAAGAUAUCUAUUUAUUUCCACACGAAUAUUAACCGACUUUAUCUUCCACAAAUUCCACCUCCUUAAGAUAGUCUGCAUCUUCAUUAGCUACAACCAUAAUCUUCCUAUGAACUUUAAAUCACUGCUCCUGCCUACUAUGAUCCUUGCUUGUUGCAAGCCAUCACUAAUGCAAAUUACUAAUCAAUUAAGUUUUAUUCUUCUUUCUUUUUGUGAUGCAAAAUUAUUAAUUAAAAUGUUAUAUUCUAAUUUAGCUAACAAAUAUUUUUCAAUAGCUAAUAUAGCUAAUCCAUUCAAUUUUUCUUGUGACAUUGUAGUUCUUAAAUAAGAUUUUAUUAACUUUAAUUUAGAAAAACUUGUCUCAACAAAAGCAAUUGUUACAGGUACUGUAAAUAAUAUUCUACAAGUAAGAAAUGCAUUUGGAAAAGAAUCUACUUUUUUAAUAUAAUUAAGUCUAUCAAGUGGAGUAUUUCUUUCAAUAUGUAAAACUUCUUUUAAGACUUUUAACUCCGAAAACUAAUAUAGCUAACCUGGCGGCGGUGGACGAGCAAAGGAUGGUUGCAAAAGAAGAAGCAUUAUUAUGCAGCAUAACUCCAAAAGACACCAAAGCAGAUUGUUCAGCUUCAUCUCAUUUCUCAUUUUAAUUGCCCUCUUACCACAUAAGAGUUUUCUAAAGAUGUAUACAAAAUUAUUAGAUGAAUGAGAAGAUAUAAGUUAUUAUAUAGGCCCCUUUCCUUCAACCAUUUUCCAGUCAAUAAAUUAUAAAAACAAACGCUGUCCGAAUGUCAAGUCAAUUUUCAUCUUGAACAAGUCGAAUGCAUAUAUAUUUUUUCCGAUAUUCCUAUCCUAAGUGUGAAUCCAUAAAAGAGGUUGCUGACUUAAUUUUCUUGUUUCUCACUUUAUUUAAUUUUUAUAAAUUUGGCUCACGAUCAAUUAAUUGAAGAGUUUGGUGGAAAUUCAAUUUACU